CAGAGUUUGAUCCGGCUCAGGAUGAACGCUAGCUACAGGCUUAACACAUGCAAGUCGAGGGGAAACGACAUCGAAAGCUUGCUUUUGAUGGGCGUCGACCGGCGCACGGGUGAGUAACGCGUAUCCAACCUGCCCACCACUUGGGGAUAACCUUGCGAAAGUAAGACUAAUACCCAAUGACGUCUCUAGAAGACAUCUGAAGGAGAUUAAAGAUUUAUCGGUGAUGGAUGGGGAUGCGUCUGAUUAGCUUGUUGGCGGGGUAACGCCACAAGGCGACGAUCAGUAGGGGUUCUGAGAGGAAGGUCCCCCANAUUGGAACUGAGACACGGUCCAAACGUCCUACGGGAGGCA
This 351-nucleotide ribosomal RNA is filed under the name uncultured bacterium. RNAcentral describes it as "bacterial SSU rRNA". It matches the Rfam family "Bacterial small subunit ribosomal RNA", at positions 8 to 350 of the family's 1533-position model. The record is from RNAcentral.